AGAAUCAACGCUGGCGGCGUGCCUAACACAUGCAAGUCGAACGAGAAAGUGGAGCAAUCCAUGAGUAAAGUGGCGCACGGGUGAGUAACACGUGACUAACCUACCCUUGAGUGGGGAAUAACUUCGGGAAACCGAGGCUAAUACCGCAUAACACCUACGGGUCAAAGGAGCAAUUCGCUUAAGGAGGGGGUCGCGGCAGAUUAGUUAGUUGGCGGGGUAAUGGCCCACCAAGACGGUGAUCUGUAUCCGGCCUGAGAGGGCGCACGGACACACUGGAACUGAAACACGGUCCAGACUCCUACGGGAGGCAGCAGUGGGGAAUUUUGCGCAAUGGGGGAAACCCUGACGCAGCAACGCCGCGUGGAGGAUGAAGUCCCUUGGGACGUAAACUCCUUUCGAUCGGGACGAUUAUGACGGUACCGGAAGAAGAAGCCCCGGCUAACUUCGCGCCAGCAGCCGC
Molecule: ribosomal RNA, 460 nt
Filed under: uncultured bacterium
Lineage: Bacteria
Description: SSU rRNA
Rfam family: Bacterial small subunit ribosomal RNA
Source: RNAcentral